GCCCGGGUGGCGAAAUUAGCAGACGCACUACCUUGAGGUGGUAGCUCCCGUUAAGGGAAUGCAGGUGCAAGUCCUGUCCCGGGCA
RNAcentral lists this transfer RNA (85 nucleotides) under bacterium. Its description in RNAcentral is "tRNA-Leu". The record is from RNAcentral.